ACCAACUCCACCAAACAACUCAGCAGGCACACCCAGGUGUCCAUCCCUAAGAGACAGAGAAAAGGAAAAACCCACAGCCAUUGUCUGGUUAUUGCUGCUACAAAGGCUGGAAAAGGGUGUGUCUGAUCAGGUGAAGCAAUUUGAAGAAAACUCAACAAACCUGAACUCCUUAACCACUCAGAUCCAGUCUGAGAUGCAGCGACUCAGCUCCUUCUGCGCUGAACAACAGCAGAGGUUGAAGUCUUCGGAGGGUGGCGAGGCGGGGGUGGAGCAUCCAGCCAGCCAGUAAAGAAGCAUAUGUCUUUGAGAGACACAUUUCAGUUUCUUUUGUUAGAACACAAAGUUUAGUAUUUAAGUUUCUCCUCAGAAUACGGACAAAAUAUAUUUGAAGACAACAAAUAAAAACAAAGAGCAGAAGUCAGUGAGUUCAUUUUUAUUUGUUGUAGUAGUGAUGAUGAUUUUAUUUAUAAAGUGCUUUCAGACAAAGUACACCUCUUUGAAAAUAAAGAGAUAAAUAAAAGUGAUGCACAGCAAUACACGUUUAAAAACACAAGUUAAAAAUAACUUCUUUUUUUUUUUUUUUUUUUUUUUAAAAGGCAGCGAAUUAAGACAUGUAGGAUCGGAUGAACAAGUGAGUCUUCAACUUAGCUUUAAAAACCCCCACAGAGCAUGCCUGCCUUGCACCAUCUGUAAACCUCUAAAACUUUUCUUUGGUAGCCUAGAAAGGAGAGCGUUACAAUAAUCGAUACGUGCUGACAUUUAUUUGUUUAUAUUUUAUUUCUUAUUGUCUUUAGUGGUAACAGCUCAUUGCCAUGGUUAAAGUUUGAAAGGCUGCAGUGACUUGACCAAUCCACCAGGUGGAGACAAACUUGGUGGAGCACUUGAGAAAUGAUGUCUGUUCCAAAGAACAAACGCAAACAAAAUAUUUUAAUAAUCACAAUAAAUAUGAGGGGAAUAAUGCCCACAGUUAAAAAAAAAAAAAAAAAAAAAAAAAGAAGCGCUCCUUGAGCCUGCACAGGUGGUGAAACGCUGAGUGUACUGGUCCCUGUGCAGCAGCGCCCCUGCUGCUUAAACAGUUUAUGGUCUGUAUCACACGCAUGCAGCUCAGAGUAAUCAGCCAGAGAUUCAGAGCUUUCUGCAGUUUGGUGUUUAAAACAGCUGCAGUUGGUUGUGGACAAAAACCUUUAUUUAUGAUUCAGAUUACACUGACUGCAUGUGAGCCACAUGUUAAUGUCGCUGCAUGGCUGAAGAAAUAAAAGGAGUUCAGG
This is a long non-coding RNA of Astatotilapia calliptera (eastern happy), 1268 nucleotides long. NCBI's taxonomy places the organism in Eukaryota, Metazoa, Chordata, Actinopteri, Cichliformes, Cichlidae. The record is from Ensembl.